GACUCUCGGCAAACGAUAUCUCCACUCUCUCAUUGACGAAGAACGUAACGAAAUACGAUACAUGGUGUGAAUUGCAUAAUUGUGUGCACCAUUGAGUUUUUGAACGCAAGUUAUGCCCGAAGUCAUUAGUCCGAGGACACGUUUUUUAGUUUUU
Molecule: ribosomal RNA, 154 nt
Filed under: Erythranthe guttata (spotted monkey flower)
Lineage: Eukaryota; Viridiplantae; Streptophyta; Magnoliopsida; Lamiales; Phrymaceae
Description: Mimulus guttatus (spotted monkey flower) 5.8S ribosomal RNA
Rfam family: 5.8S ribosomal RNA
About the family: 5.8S ribosomal RNA (5.8S rRNA) is a component of the large subunit of the eukaryotic ribosome. It is transcribed by RNA polymerase I as part of the 45S precursor that also contains 18S and 28S rRNA.
Source: Rfam by way of RNAcentral